Molecule: ribosomal RNA, 207 nt
Filed under: uncultured bacterium
Lineage: Bacteria
Description: partial 16S ribosomal RNA
Rfam family: Bacterial small subunit ribosomal RNA
Source: RNAcentral
AGCGUAGACGGUGUGGCAAGUCUGAUGUGAAAGGCAUGGGCUCAACCUGUGGACUGCAUUGGAAACUGUCAUACUUGAGUGCCGGAGGGGUAAGCGGAAUUCCUAGUGUAGCGGUGAAAUGCGUAGAUAUUAGGAGGAACACCAGUGGCGAAGGCGGCUUACUGGACGGUAACUGACGUUGAGGCUCGAAAGUGUGGGUAGCAAACA